AUACGGAGGACGCGAGCGUUAUCCGGAUUCAUUGGGUUUAAAGGGUGCGCAGGCGGCCGUGCAAGUCAGCGGUGAAAGCCCGGGGCUCAACCCCGGAAGUGCCGUUGAUACUGCAUGGCUGGAAUGCGGUCGAGGCGGGCGGGACGUGGCGUGUGGCGGUGAAAUGCGUAGAUAUGCCACAGAAAGCCAAUAGCGGAGGCAGCUCGCCAGGCCUGCAUUGACGCUCGGGCACGAAAGCGUGGGGAUCGAACAGGAUUAGAUACCCUGGUAGUCCACGCCGUAAACGAUGGGCGCUCGUCGUCGGCGGCAGACAGUCGGCGGCCAAGCGAAAGCGAUAAGCGCCCCACCUGGGGAGUACGGUCGCAAGGCUGAAACUCAAAUGAAUUGACGGGG
RNAcentral lists this ribosomal RNA (393 nucleotides) under uncultured bacterium. RNAcentral's name for it is "partial 16S ribosomal RNA". It matches the Rfam family "Bacterial small subunit ribosomal RNA", at positions 523 to 918 of the family's 1533-position model. The record is from RNAcentral.